RNAcentral lists this ribosomal RNA (443 nucleotides) under uncultured bacterium. RNAcentral describes it as "partial 16S ribosomal RNA". It matches the Rfam family "Bacterial small subunit ribosomal RNA", at positions 338 to 795 of the family's 1533-position model. The record is from RNAcentral.
CCUACGGGAGGCAGCAGUGGGGAAUAUUGGGCAAUGGGCGCAAGCCUGACCCAGCAACGCCGCGUGAAGGAAGAAGGCUUUCGGGUUGUAAACUACUUUUCUCAGGGACGAAGCAAGUGACGUUACUAGAGGAAUAAGCCACGGCUAACUACGUGCCAGCAGCCGCGGCAAUACGUAGGUGGCAAGCGUUAUCCGGAUUUACUGGGUGUAAAGGGCGUGUAGGCGGGGACGCAAGUCAGAUGUGAAAACCCCGGGCUCAACCUGUGGCCUGCAUUUGAUACUGUGUGUCUUGAGUACUGGAGAGGCAGACGGAAUUCCUGGUGUAGCGGUGAAAUGCGUAGAUAUUAGGAGGAACACCAGUGGCGAAGGCGGUCUGCUGGACAGCGACUGACGCUGAGGCGCGAAAGCGUGGGGAGCAAACAGGAUUAGAUACCCGGGUAGUC